ACCUUCCCGACCGUGGUGGAUAACCUGCCGAAAGGCGGGCUAAUACAGCAUGUGACCCGGACGCUACGGCGGCCGGGUGAAAGCAGGCCUCUCUAGAGAAGCUUGCGCGGUCGGUUGGGCCCGCGUCCUAUCAGCUAGUUGGAGAGGUAACGGCUCACCAAGGCGACGACGGGUAGCUGGUCUGAGAGGAUGGCCAGCCACACUGGAACUGAGACACGGUCCAG
RNAcentral lists this ribosomal RNA (224 nucleotides) under uncultured bacterium. RNAcentral describes it as "partial 16S ribosomal RNA". It matches the Rfam family "Bacterial small subunit ribosomal RNA", at positions 124 to 334 of the family's 1533-position model. The record is from RNAcentral.